RNAcentral lists this long non-coding RNA (315 nucleotides) under Mus spicilegus (steppe mouse). RNAcentral's name for it is "lncRNA (ENSMSIG00000008001.1)". The record is from RNAcentral. Lineage: Eukaryota; Metazoa; Chordata; Mammalia; Rodentia; Muridae.
GGUUGCUUGGCAACCAGAGGGUGACAGUUUGAGGAGCUCAGGGAGCUUUGACAAUGUGACUUCAAGAUAGGUGAAGGACAGUAGGAGGCACUGAGUCUGCUGAAAGGAAUCGCAACAUGGAAGCAUCAUUUAAAUAAAGAUUCAUCUCUCUGUGUGAUGAUUCUAAGGAGAUUAUUCAGGAGUGUACAAGACACACACUUAGAUAUUGGAGAAUAUUGGAAAGAGAGGAAAGGCAGAGGCCAGGGACGCAACUGGAAGAAGCAGCAGAGAUCAAAGUAUUGGGGAGGAGCUGACACGUUAUCUUUCCUUGAAUGA